ACUCCUACGGGAGGCAGCAGUGGGGAAUAUUGGACAAUGGGCGAAAGCCUGAUCCAGCCAUGCCGCGUGUGUGAAGAAGGUCUUCGGAUUGUAAAGCACUUUAAGUUGGGAGGAAGGGCAGUUACCUAAUACGUAAUUGUUUGACGUUACCGACAGAAUAAGCACCGGCUAACUCUGUGCCAGCAGCCGCGGUAAUACAGAGGGUGCAAGCGUUAAUCGGAAUUACUGGGCGUAAAGCGCGCGUAGGUGGUUUGUUAAGUUGGAUGUGAAAUCCCCGGGCUCAACCUGGGAACUGCAUUCAAAACUGACUGACUAGAGUAUGGUAGAGGUGGUGGAAUUUCCUGUGUAGCGGUGAAAUGCGUAGAUAUAGGAAGGAACACCAGUGGCGAAGGCGACCACCUGGACUAAUACUGACACUGAGGUGCGAAAGCGUGGGAGCAAACAGGAUUAGAUACCCUGGUAGCGACUGA
This 470-nucleotide ribosomal RNA is filed under the name uncultured bacterium. RNAcentral describes it as "bacterial SSU rRNA". It matches the Rfam family "Bacterial small subunit ribosomal RNA", at positions 335 to 803 of the family's 1533-position model. The record is from RNAcentral.